This 262-nucleotide ribosomal RNA is filed under the name uncultured bacterium. Its description in RNAcentral is "partial 16S ribosomal RNA". It matches the Rfam family "Bacterial small subunit ribosomal RNA", at positions 513 to 774 of the family's 1533-position model. The record is from RNAcentral.
AGCCGCGGUAAUACGGAGGGUGCAAGCGUUAAUCGGAAUCAUUGGGUUUAAAGGGUCCGUAGGCGGUUUUAUAAGUCAGUGGUGAAAUCCGGCAGCUCAACUGUCGAACUGCCAUUGAUACUGUAGGACUUGAAUUAUUAUGAAGUAACUAGAAUAUGUAGUGUAGCGGUGAAAUGCUUAGAUAUUACAUGGAAUACCAAUUGCGAAGGCAGGUUACUAAUAAUGGAUUGACGCUGAUGGACGAAAGCGUGGGGAGCGAACA